This is a non-coding RNA of Prunus avium (sweet cherry), 2783 nucleotides long. NCBI's taxonomy places the organism in Eukaryota, Viridiplantae, Streptophyta, Magnoliopsida, Rosales, Rosaceae. The record is from RefSeq and is a predicted model, not a curated record.
UUGAAAGCUGGAAGAGGCAAUAGCGUGAAAUGGCGUUAUAUGUGGCCUGUUGAGACAUUGAAAGUAACCCAAUGAAGAGAACUUGUAAACUAUGUGCAGCCAGUGAAGUGGAAUUGUUGGAUCAGAAACCAAGCAGUUUUAGCAUUUCAUGUCUGCAAACGAAUGUCCUAGUCCUAAUCUAACAGAGUGAAAAUGAUAUAUCUUCUUCACACGGUAAUUUUUUGUUGUUCUUUGUUGGAGGAAAAAACCCACCGAUGAUGUAACCCCGCGAAGAAAGCUUGUCUAAAUGCCCUGCGAUUUGAAUUAACAACCAAUAAAAUUUGACAAAUUUGCCAGCUCGGGUCCACCGUCCACAGCCUUGACAAUAAAAUGUGGCAAAAUUGUUUGUUUUUCUCAAAAUAAAAUCAAAAUAAGCAAAACCCUUUAAACCCUUGUCUCUCUCCCCGGCCUUCACUCUCGACCAAAGUAGAUGUUAGCUAUUUCAAGAAUGAAGGCCCUCAUCUCCGCCACGACGUUCUCAACCCACUUUGUUCCUCACAUCUCCAAGACCACACCUUUGGCCCUCUCAUCUUUAGCCUCUAAGUCCUUUUCAUUCAACCCACCAACCCUUUUCCAGAACCCCAAUCUUCUCCUCCCAAAACCCAUUCUUUUUGUGCCCAAAACCUGCAUUUCUUCAGUUCAGAACCGAUGUAUGCAAAUGGAGAUGCCUUCUCGCCAACGGUCCGGUGAGAUUCACGUGAUCGUCGGCCCAAUGUUCGCCGGCAAGACCACGACGCUUCUUCGUAAAGUUCAAUCCGAGAGAGGCGAUGGCAGCUUUCAGGUCAAGCCCCAAAAGCACAUCCCAGUGGAUAAAACACUGAAAGGACUCUGCUAUUCAGGAAGAUUGGCAGAAGCCGUUGGGCUAUUGUGCCAUACAGGGUUAGAGGUAGACCCAGACACCUAUGCUCUUCUAUUGCAAGAAUGUAUAUUUAGGAAAGAGUAUAAGAAGGGGAAAAUAAUUCAUGCACAAAUGAUCGUUGUGGGGUUUGUUCUCAAUGAAUAUUUGAAGACCAAGUUGUUGAUCUUGUAUGCAAAAUCAGGAAAUUUAGGAACUGCCCACAGUUUGCUUGAUAAGUUGCUUGAGAAAAGCUUGGUUUCAUGGAAUGCAAUAAUUGCAGGGUAUGUGCAAAAGGGACUUGAAGAUGUGGGAUUGAGUCUUUAUUACAAGAUGAGACAUGGUGGUUUGAUCCCAGACCAAUAUACCUUUGCAUCAGUGUUCAGGGCGUGUGCCUCUUUAGCAACACUGGAGCAUGGGAAGCAAGCCCAUGGUGUCAUGAUAAAGUGCCAAAUUGGAGAAAAUGUUGUAGUCAAUAGUGCCCUCAUGGAUAUGUACUUCAAAUGUAGUGAUUUAUGUGAUGGGCAAAGGGUAUUUGAUACAUGUCAAAAUAGGAAUGCCAUUACCUGGACUGCUUUGAUAUCCGGUUAUGGUCAGCAUGGAAAAGUUGUAGAGGUCUUAGAUUUUUUUCAUAGGAUGAAGAGUGAAGGUUUCAGACCAAAUUAUGUUACUUUUAUCUCAGUUCUUUCUGCUUGUAGUCAUGGAGGUUUAGUUGAUGAGGCUUGGGAAUAUUUUUCUUCAAUGACAAGAGAUUAUGGAAUUCACCCAAGAGCACAGCAUUAUGCAGCCUUGGUUGACCUUUUAGGACGUGCUGGGCAGUUAGAAGAGGCGUAUGAGUUUGUUUCGAACUCACCUUGUAAGGAGCACUCAGUGAUGUGGGGUGCUUUUCUUUGGGCUUGUAGAAUUCAUGGAGACAGAGACUUGUUAAAGCUUGCAGCAAAGAAAUACUUCAAAUUGGAACCAGAAAAUGCUGGAAAGUAUGUAGUCUUGUCUAAUGCUUAUGCCACUUUUGGGCUGUGGGACAAUGUUGCUAAGCUUAGGUCUAUGAUGACAGAUUCAGGGAUGAGAAAGGAGCCUGCUUAUAGCAAAGUAGAGGUUCAAAAAGAGGUCCACUUCUUUCUUAAGGGUGAUACAUAUCACAAACAAUCCAAGGAGAUUUAUGAGAUGGUUAAAUUGGUUGAUUGCUCUCUAAAGGAUUCAGGCUAUGUUCCUCAUUUAAGUGGAAGCUAAUUUAUGUAAUGGAAAAGUGCUUAUUUCCUAGGAAUGUCUCUCUUUUGCCUGUCUUGUAAAGAACUCGAUACAUAAGAGCUUCAUGCUUGAGAUGUCUACUUUGGUCUUGUCUGAAAAACGAAUUAAACAUGCAGUGAUAUACUCACAGAAAGUUACCUAAUCAGUGUCAUAAGUGUGAUAGAAAUUGCAGUCUUUAGGAAGUUGAAAAGCGUGUAAGAGAGAAAAUUGUUUAUAUUCAGUUCAUGAGCCCUAUGCAUGCCAGUAAUACAUGAAGCUUGCGAGUGUUUUUUCCUUUAGGUUCUUAGUGAGAAGAAGAAAACUGCACAAAUGUAGAUGAUACUUCAUAGAAUGUAUCAGCCAAGUUCUUAGUAAAUACUUUUCCAAAGCUUCAGCUUGAUGACUAGAAGUUGAGAGUUCAUGUUUAUAUACAGUGGUAAUACCCGUAGUACUGGACAUUAAUAACUAUCUCUAGGAUUGAUCUUUGCAAUCUUGGAGGACUUUCAUGAUUGUUGGUAUGCAGUGCACAUCCAAGAGGAGAGUCCAUGGGCCAAGUUUUUUCAUGGUCAACUUCCCCAUAAGUCAUUAAUCACAAGAUGUAAGCAAAAGAGAAAUGUUGCUAUAAUUAAAUCAAGCAAGGAUACAAGAUAUGGAUUGGAUUCAAUUGUGACGCAUGAUGGGG